RNAcentral lists this long non-coding RNA (616 nucleotides) under Homo sapiens (human). Its description in RNAcentral is "non-protein coding lnc-TBL1XR1-19:1". The record is from RNAcentral. Lineage: Eukaryota; Metazoa; Chordata; Mammalia; Primates; Hominidae.
AUUCCAGAGCAAGAACAGGUUCCUGUCUGGCAGCUCUAUUUGAUUGUAUAUUUGUGGCUUGGGAUGGAAACAGGGAGCAAACCAGAAGAGCUGGGAGACGACUGGAAAAUGCAAACAUACAGCUUCAUGACUGCAACUAUUUAAUGAAUGAAAGAGAUAAAGUAGCCGGAAAAUCCCAGGUCUUGGACCAGGAAAUGUGAAAUGAACCAGCAAAGAUGCUUCAGCAGGCCUGAAGAGACUGGGAACACCAGAUGAAAGAGAACAGGUACCUGUAAAGAGCAGUGAUACAGUCAGAGGAAACAAUAAAAGUAAGUUGCUGAUGAAUAGCUAUCAGAACACAUUCCCAUGAAUGCUGAGUGGUCAGCAUGUCAAAGUCCGGCUCCAUUGAGCAAGAUUUUUGUCUCUUCAUGGGAAAAUAAGAAGUGCUUUUAAAGUAGUGGCUAGAGCCCUAAAAAACAAUUAAUAGAACUCUUCUCAUUAGCUACAUCUGGCAUAGAAUGAGCCUGGCUUUGACAGGGUUUUUCCAUAUAUGUUUCGAACUCUACAGAAAAUGACUGUAGGGGAGCUGAUUCCAGGCAAAAGAAUCAACAUGAUUAAAUGAGCUGUGGGAGGAAAA